RNAcentral lists this ribosomal RNA (253 nucleotides) under uncultured bacterium. RNAcentral describes it as "partial 16S ribosomal RNA". It matches the Rfam family "Bacterial small subunit ribosomal RNA", at positions 524 to 776 of the family's 1533-position model. The record is from RNAcentral.
UACGUAGGGUGCAAGCGUUAAUCGGAAUUACUGGGCGUAAAGCGUGCGCAGGCGGUUGUGCAAGACAGAUGUGAAAUCCCCGGGCUCAACCUGGGAACUGCAUUUGUGACUGCACGGCUGGAGUGCGGCAGAGGGGGAUGGAACUCCGCGUGUAGCAGUGAAAUGCGUAGAUAUGCGGAGGAACACCGAUGGCGAAGGCAAUCCCCUGGGCCUGCACUGACGCUCAUGCACGAAAGCGUGGGGAGCAAACAGG